Molecule: ribosomal RNA, 468 nt
Filed under: uncultured bacterium
Lineage: Bacteria
Description: partial 16S ribosomal RNA
Rfam family: Bacterial small subunit ribosomal RNA
Source: RNAcentral
GCCGAACUCUGGCGGCGUGCUUAACACAUGCAAGUCGAACGGAAAGGCCCUGCUUUUGUGGGGUGCUCGAGUGGCGAACGGGUGAGUAACACGUGAGUAACCUGCCCUUGACUUUGGGAUAACUUCAGGAAACUGGGGCUAAUACCGGAUAGGAGCUCCUGCUGCAUGGUGGGGGUUGGAAAGUUUCGGCGGUUGGGGAUGGACUCGCGGCUUAUCAGCUUGUUGGUGGGGUAGUGGCUUACCAAGGCUUUGACGGGUAGCCGGCCUGAGAGGGUGACCGGCCACAUUGGGACUGAGAUACGGCCCAGACUCCUACGGGAGGCAGCAGUGGGGAAUAUUGCACAAUGGGCGGAAGCCUGAUGCAGCAACGCCGCGUGCGGGAUGACGGCCUUCGGGUUGUAAACCGCUUUCGCCUGUGACGAAGCGUGAGUGACGGUAAUGGGUAAAGAAGCACCGGCUAACUACGUG